AUGAGCUACAAUCUGAAAUUUAGCUGGAUUGACACCAUGGCUGACAACUAUCUUCCUCCUCUUAAUACUUACUUGGUAUGCAUCUACUGCUUGAAACUUUUGCGUGGCCUAGUACAAUAAACAUUAUAGAUAGAGAUGAGGCAGAUUAUCAUUGUGUCGGUUGUUAGUUUAUAUUGUUAUUUCACCAGCAUGCGCGCACGCACUUCAUCCUGCGUUUCAUCCCCACACAUGCAUGUAUAUAUGUAUAUACUUAUAUAUGUUUUUCCAGAUGGAGCAAGCUUGGUUUUGGUCAAGUAAGUUCUCUAUAUCCUAAAUGGCAGCUCCUGUUUCCAGGUUGUUUCUGUCAUGUCUAUGUGGACGAGGAUGCAGCCUGCUUAUGCUGCAAACAUGUGGAAUGAAGCUCUCAACAAGCGGCUGGGGACAGAGGUAAUUAUGCUUUACUUGAGGUUUUUCAUUUUACUUUUGGUGUCUAUUAAAUCAACUUAUUUAAAAUCGUAAGCCAUGCCAUUUUGUUCUGUUUUGUUUAUUUGGGAAUGAACACGAAUGUCUGCUCUUAGAAUUCUGAAUGCCCUAAGCAUCUUCGAAAUGAAUCAAAGGAUGGUUUAACAAUUAAUCAACCGACUGUAAUUAAAAACAAAUGUAAAAGGUCAUAAAAAUGACAAUUUAUAAAUGUGGUAAUUUCUCUUUUUCGACUCAGAUUAAAGACAACUUUAGACAAUAUAAACAUUUUUUAAAAGUCAUUAUUUAACCUUCUGUCUGUCUUCACACGAUCUCUCCUCCACCAGCAGCAGGAGCAGCAGCAGCAGCAGCAGCAUCAGCACUAG
This 824-nucleotide long non-coding RNA is filed under the name Prunus dulcis (almond). RNAcentral's name for it is "sRNA ncRNA". The record is from RNAcentral. Lineage: Eukaryota; Viridiplantae; Streptophyta; Magnoliopsida; Rosales; Rosaceae.